RNAcentral lists this ribosomal RNA (449 nucleotides) under uncultured organism. Its description in RNAcentral is "partial 16S ribosomal RNA". It matches the Rfam family "Bacterial small subunit ribosomal RNA", at positions 330 to 796 of the family's 1533-position model. The record is from RNAcentral.
CGUACACUCCUGCGGGAGGCAGCAGUGGGGAAUAUUGGACAAUGGGCGCAAGCCUGAUCCAGCCAUGCCGCGUGAGUGAUGAAGGCCCUAGGGUUGUAAAGCUCUUUCACCGGUGAAGAUAAUGACGGUAACCGGAGAAGAAGCCCCGGCUAACUUCGUGCCAGCAGCCGCGGUAAUACGAAGGGGGCUAGCGUUGUUCGGAUUUACUGGGCGUAAAGCGCACGUAGGCGGACUAUUAAGUCAGGGGUGAAAUCCCGGGGCUCAACCCCGGAACUGCCUUUGAUACUGGUAGUCUUGAGUUCGAGAGAGGUGAGUGGAAUUCCGAGUGUAGAGGUGAAAUUCGUAGAUAUUCGGAGGAACACCAGUGGCGAAGGCGGCUCACUGGCUCGAUACUGACGCUGAGGUGCGAAAGCGUGGGGAGCAAACAGGAUUAGAUACCCCAGUAGUCC